UCCAAGGCCUCCAUUAGAGCUCUGGUUGUUGGGGACGAAGGACCGUCAAGUGUGUUUCGACUUUGGAGCAAAUCCCAAAACCAGGAAAAUUUUACCUAUAAAUCUGGCGUAAAAUUUUAUCCACUUAUCUUUUUGGGUGAUUUACAUCUUUUUUUGGGCGAUUUACAUCAACCCCACUUGGCGUUUGUCCAAAUUGCAUCAUCCCCCUGAAAAUCAAAAAAUUACAUUUAAAUCUGCAAAAUUGACACCAUUGGCAUCUUUGUAGGGUUAAUCUGUUAAGUGGAUAAAAUUUUAAUGAAAACCCCAUUUUUCCCUUAUUGUCUCCAACAUACCUACCCCACUUACAUCCGAUUCUGUUCGCCGGGUUCUCUUGAGGUUUUUUCUCUCAGGCGCGAUUGUAUCCAGUUCAUCACCCUUCGGUGAAGUCUUCUCAGGCAACGGAUUGCUUCGAGUUCUCUUCAGCUCUAAGUAACAAGCGGGUUGCAGGGCUCAACUUUGGUGCUUCAAUGGCGGAUCCGCUUAGAAGCUGGAAAAGGGUCUACAGCUUCCGUCGUGCCCCCGACAGAAGUGCGUUCGAGAAAUGAUCUUUGCUUGCAAAGAUGUGUGCAUGUGAUGGAAAUGGGAUGAAUGAAUAAAGUAUGAGAUGAACUGAAAAUUUUCGCUGAUCUUUGUAAAUCAUCAUUUCUUGCCCGCUAGUAUCUGACAAAUUGAAGAGAGAUUGAUUUCGAUUUUGAAAGCUAUGGUCCGAUUCCAAACUUCGUACCUGAAGCCUUUGAAGCCGAGGCCUAAGCUGUCCAAGAUAAGGAGGGAAGACAACAAAAAGAGCAGUUCUUUACAGUAAAGCACCUUGGCUAACGAACCUUCAUCGGAGACUUCACUCCACCUUUGCCGGAAAUGACAAUUCCUCUCCGUCGCCGAACACGGUAAGGGCAUUUGUGAUAGGUGUUGGUUUAUUAGAGAGAAGAGGGGUGUUAUAGGUAUAUAAAGUGUUAGGGGUAAUUUUGUCUUUUAAAAUUCAAAACUAACACUAUGCGAACGGUGUCAAUUUUGUGGGCUUAAAUGUAAUUUUUUGAUUUUCAGGGGGGGGUGAUGUAAUUUGGACAAACGCCAGGGGAGGUUGAU
This is a long non-coding RNA of Macadamia integrifolia, 1122 nucleotides long. RefSeq lists it as uncharacterized. The record is from RefSeq and is a predicted model, not a curated record. The transcript has 3 exons. NCBI's taxonomy places the organism in Eukaryota, Viridiplantae, Streptophyta, Magnoliopsida, Proteales, Proteaceae.